AAAAGUGCGUCGUAGUCCGGAUUGGAGUCUGCAACUCGACUCCAUGAAGUCGGAAUCGCUAGUAAUCGUGGAUCAGAAUGCCACGGUGAAUACGUUCCCGGGCCUUGUACACACCGCCCGUCACACCAUGGGAGUGGGCUGCAAAAGAAGCAGGUAGUUUAACCUUCGGGAGGACGCUUGCCACUUUGUGGUUCAUGACUGGGGUGAAGUCGUAACAAGGUAGCGCUAGGGGAACCUGGCGCUGGAUCACCUCCUUA
Molecule: ribosomal RNA, 257 nt
Filed under: Vibrio furnissii CIP 102972
Lineage: Bacteria; Pseudomonadati; Pseudomonadota; Gammaproteobacteria; Vibrionales; Vibrionaceae
Description: partial 16S ribosomal RNA
Rfam family: Bacterial small subunit ribosomal RNA
Source: RNAcentral